This 265-nucleotide ribosomal RNA is filed under the name uncultured bacterium. RNAcentral's name for it is "partial 16S ribosomal RNA". It matches the Rfam family "Bacterial small subunit ribosomal RNA", at positions 524 to 787 of the family's 1533-position model. The record is from RNAcentral.
UACGUAGGGUGCAAGCGUUAAUCGGAAUUACUGGGCGUAAAGCGUGCGCAGGCGGUUUUGUAAGUCUGUCGUGAAAUCCCCGGGCUCAACCUGGGAAUUGCGAUGGAGACUGCAAGGCUAGAAUCUGGCAGAGGGGGGUAGAAUUCCACGUGUAGCAGUGAAAUGCGUAGAGAUGUGGAGGAACACCGAUGGCGAAGGCAGCCCCCUGGGUCAAGAUUGACGCUCAUGCACGAAAGCGUGGGGAGCAAACAGGAUUAGAGUACCC